GUGGGGAUUAGUGGCGAACGGGUGAGUAACACGUGGGCAAUCUGCCCUUCACUCUGGGACAAGCCCUGGAAACGGGGUCUAAUACCGGAUAACACUCCCGCACUCAUGUGCGGGGGUUAAAAGCUCCGGCGGUGAAGGAUGAGCCCGCGGCCUAUCAGCUUGUUGGUGAGGUAAUGGCUCACCAAGGCGACGACGGGUAGCCGGCCUGAGAGGGCGACCGGCCACACUGGGACUGAGACACGGCCCAGACUCCUACGGGAGGCAGCAGUGGGGAAUAUUGCACAAUGGGCGAAAGCCUGAUGCAGCGACGCCGCGUGAGGGAUGACGGCCUUCGGGUUGUAAACCUCUUUCAGCAGGGAAGAAGCGAAAGUGACGGUACCUGCAGAAGAAGCGCCGGCUAACUACGUGCCAGC
Molecule: ribosomal RNA, 413 nt
Filed under: bacterium S5-028-16S
Lineage: Bacteria
Description: bacterial SSU rRNA
Rfam family: Bacterial small subunit ribosomal RNA
Source: RNAcentral